CAAUAGCGUAUAUUAAAGUUGUUGCAGUUAAAAGCUCGUAGUUGGAUUUCGGAGUGGGCCAGUUGGUCCGCCGCAAGGUGUGUUACUGACUGGUUUGCUCUUCUUCGCAAAGACUGCGUGUGCCCUUAAAUGAGUGUCAGUCGAUGAGAUUUUAACGACGUUUUACUUUGAAAAAUUAGAGUGUUCAAAGCAGGCUAUUGCUUGAAUACAUGAGCAUGGAAUAAUGGAAUAGGACUUUGGUCCCAUUUUGUUGGUUUCUAGGGCCGAAGUAAUGAUUAAGAGGGACAAUUGGGGCAUCCGUAUUUCGUUGUCAGAGGUGAAAUUCUUGGAUUUACGAAAGACGAACAACUGCGAAAGCACUUGCCAAGAGU
Molecule: ribosomal RNA, 371 nt
Filed under: uncultured eukaryote
Lineage: Eukaryota
Description: SSU rRNA
Rfam family: Eukaryotic small subunit ribosomal RNA
Source: RNAcentral